CCAGACUCCUACGGGAGGCAGCAGUGGGGAAUAUUGCACAAUGGGGGAAACCCUGAUGCAGCGACGCCGCGUGGGUGAAGGAGUGCUUCGGCAUGUAAAGCCCUAUCGGCAGGGAAGAAGCAAGACGGUACCUGACUAAGAAGCCCCGGCUAACUACGUGCCAGCAGCCGCGGUAAUACGUAGGGGGCAAGCGUUAUCCGGAUUCACUGGGUGUAAAGGGAGCGUAGACGGCGACGCAAGUCUGGAGUGAAAGCCCGGGGCCCAACCCCGGGACUGCUCUUGGAACUGCGUGGCUGGAGUGCAGGAGGGGCAGGCGGAAUUCCUGGUGUAGCGGUGAAAUGCGUAGAUAUCAGGAGGAACACCGGUGGCGAAGGCGGCCUGCUGGACCGUGACUGACGUUGAGGCUCGAGAGCGUGGGGAGCAAACAGGAUUAGAUACCCGCGUAA
Molecule: ribosomal RNA, 446 nt
Filed under: uncultured bacterium
Lineage: Bacteria
Description: bacterial SSU rRNA
Rfam family: Bacterial small subunit ribosomal RNA
Source: RNAcentral